Molecule: non-coding RNA, 13678 nt
Organism: Nicotiana tabacum (common tobacco)
Lineage: Eukaryota; Viridiplantae; Streptophyta; Magnoliopsida; Solanales; Solanaceae
Source: RefSeq, a predicted model, not a curated record
AAUAAUUUCAAAAGUAAAAACUUUAAAUUAAGAACUUUUCACAAAUUACAGUUUUGCGACUUUGUUAUAAUAAGUAAAAUUCAGUGAUCAUAUACGGUAACUUUGUAAAUUUUCCAGCAGAGGAGACAUCAAAGGUCCUAAAAGUGAGGCUAUUAUGCAUUCAAACUUCUGUCGCUUUAAGACCCUCAAUGAUUCAAGUCGUACAAAUGUUAACACGUGAAGAUCAUCAAAUUCCAGAACCAUGUCAACCACCUCUUUUAAACUCAAGUUUAUUAGCUGCCGGCUUUCUCAAAUCCGGCAUAAGGAGUUUAGUGGCAACGCAAAACCAAAAAAUUCCAAAACUUAGCAUGCGUCGAGUUUAAAAAUGCCUUUUUAUCGUUCGAUUUAACACACACCAACCAUCCAAAGCAAGAAGUAUAGGAAGAACCAAGAAAACCAAAAAAAUCUAAAUUCAGCACGCUUCGAGUUUAAAAAUGCUUUUUUAUCAUUCAAUUUAACACACACCAACCAUGGAGUUCCAAAAUUAAAAUUCAUGAAUAGAACCCCAAAGAUGGGGCAAAGAUUAGAAGAAGAGAAUGCUGUAUUGACUUUUCACUAUUGAAUUAUUUUCCAACAGGGACGUUUAUUUGGGCCUCCUUGACACUGGAGUUGAAGUUGCCAGAUAUAUACGUGUACGUUUUCUGCUACUCCCAAAUGUAUGCUUUUCUUCUCUUUCAACAUAAACAUAUUCUUUAGCAAAGCACACACAAGAGAAGGCAUCAGAGAUACAUCCAUCACAAGAUCAAAUCGAAAUCAGGCCAAAGAUGUCAAAUUUAAAAAAACCUGUGGAUUCAACAUGCUGGAAACAAAAAGGGAAACGUCAAUGCUCUGAAGAAAGAUGCAUCCAAAUUAAAUAAAGACGUCGCGAAAUGUAUAGGGCGAGGUUGCCCGAUAAAAGAGAACUAAAUUUACUGGAGCGCCGAACGACAUACUUUCAUUCUAGAAAGCAGAAUCCAACCAGUGAUUCCACUGAAGUAUCAGCUUGCUACCAAUUUAAUAGAGAAUUAGCAAGGCAGAGAGCUGCUCUAAUAGGAGCCUCAUCUUCUACCUUGAGAACAGUAUCCAUUACCAUUUUCUUAUGGACAAAACGGAUGGCAUUGUGGUAUUAAAAAGAUUAUUCGAACGAAUAAUACUAUUAGCCAUGGAACUUAUUGUGAAAAUGAACAGCUACCAAGUGUAGAAAAUAUGAGUUCAGUAGACAUGCUACUUGACAUGGAAGCAGAACUUCUGGAAAAAAAAGAAAAGAAAAAGAAAUAUUGUGUCAUGCCGUGAGUAUUAUUGUUACAAGCUCCAAAUGAGGGACGAUGAAGAAAAUGGGGUUUUACAUGCUGGAAGAGUAUUCCAACAAUACUCAGUUGACGAAUUCAUCAAGCUUGAGAAUCAAAGGUUAGAUUUCUGUUCAUUUAAUCAAGAUUUAUUUAGAAUUGAUGUGUUAGCGGGGAUUCUUGAUGUUCUAAGACACGAAGAGAGAGAGCCAUGCAACAUUGGCAGACAAAGUUUUCUUCCUGCAAGUUUCAUAGGAGGUCCUGGGGAUAUGCGCCGACGAUAUAUGGACGCUAUUGCGUUAGUGGAAAAUUUUGGGAAACCUGAUAUAUUUUUGACAAUGACAUGUAAUCCAUCUUGGCCAGAAAUAGAAGAACAUUUAUUGGUAACAGAUGAGGUACAAAAUAGGCCCGAUUUAGUUAGUCGUGUGUUUAGAGCAAAGGUAGAAGAGAUGAAAACAGAUAUUCUAAAGAGUAAUAUAUUUGGAAAAGUUGUUGCUUUUAUGUACACUAUUGAAUUUCAAAAUCGUGGUCUUCCACAUGCUCAUUUUCUUAUCAUACUCAAAGACGAAUAUAAAUUGUUAACUCCGAAAGCUUAUGAUAGAGUUGUUUGUGCUGAAAUACCCAAUUCUGAUAAGAAUGAUUGCUUGUAUUCAGUUGUUAAUAAACAUAUGAUGCACGGACCUUGUGGUAGUUUAAAUCCUAAAUGUCCUUGUAUGAAGAACCGAGAAUACUGUAGUUCAAAUAUCUAAAAGAUUUUGCUGAUCAUACAUCAAAGGGAAAAAAUGGAUACCCAAUUUACAAAAGGCGAAAUAAUGGUAAACGUGUAAAUAUUAGAGGACAAUUUCUUGACAAUUCGUGGGUAGUUCCUUACAAUCCAUAUCUAUUGAGCAAAUUUAACUGUCAUAUUAAUGUUGAAGUUUGUUCUGAUAUUAAAGUUGUCAAAUACCUUUAUAAAUAUAUCUGCAAGGGACAUGAUAAAAUUGCCUUUUUCAUACAUGUUGAUGAUCCAAAUAUUGAAAUAGAUGAGAUCAAAGAAUAUCAAUCUGCUUGAUGGGUAUCUCCAUCAGAGGCAACUUGGUGUUUAUUUGGUUUUUCCAUUAGUGAAAUGACUCCAUCUGUUUAUCAUCUUCAGCUACAUCUUGAAGGACAAUAAUUUGUCUCUUUUCAAACCACACAGACCGUAAAUGCAAUUAUAAAUAAUCCCAUGAUUAGAAAAACAAUGUUGACGGAAUUCUUUUUGAUGAACAGAGAAAAUAAAGAUGCCAAGAAACUAAAUUUACUCUGAAAAGAAUUUCUAGAAUAUUUUGUAUGGUCCAAACAAUAUAAAAUGUGGACACGUCGACAACAGGACACUGUUAUUGGACGUAUUAUGACAUGUCAUCCAACAGAGGGGGAAAGAUAUUAUCUUAGAUUAUUAUUAAUGAAUAUUAGAGGACCAAAUCAUACCAACAUUUGCUAACUGUAAAUUAAAUAUGUUGUAGUACAUUUAGAGAAGACGCAGAAAAACAAGGAUUAUUACAAUGUGAUAAUAACUUCGUUGACUGUAUGUCAGAAGCUAUAAGAUAUCAAAUGCCUUAUAGUCUAAGACGUUUAUUUGCUACACUUUUGGUAUAUUGUAAUUCUGCUAACCCAAAAGAACUUUGGAACCGAUUUGAAGAUUCUAUGUCUGAAGACUUCAAGAUUUUGCCACAUUUGAAUGAGAAACAAAUUCGUCGUAUGGCUUUAGAUCAUAUUAACACCAUUUUGCAUUCAAUGGGUCGUGAUAUAAAUGAAUUUGCACUUGUACCAGAAAGAAUCUUAGCUUCAUCUGCUGCUAGGGAGGCUCAAGAUUCUCAUUUUGAAAGAAAUAUAAUUGUUAGAGAAGAAGAUUUAUUACUAGAAACAAAAUUGAACAAUGAACAGCGAAAAACAUAUGAUGUAAUCCUUGAUAGAAUAUUUAGGAAUAAAUCUGGAGCUUUUUUUAUCGAUGGUCCCGGAGGAACAGGCAAAACUUUUUUGUAUCGUGCAUUAUUGGCUGCUGUAAGGGAUUUAAAUCUGCUCAGAGAUUUCAUAUCUCUCCCACAUGUGAUUCAUCCUAAUAACUAUUGAUUAGGUUAAAAAAGUGCCCCUACACAUGUAAAAAAACUAAUUAAAAGGGCAAAAGAGACGAAGGCUAAAACAUUGACUAAAGAGGGGGCAAAGAGAUAUUUGCCUUUGACUUCUUCUCUGCCUACUGACUGCUACUCGGCUAGAUGCUCUUAUUUAAGAUCAAAAGGAUUCGUAUCUUUAGCAACAACAACCUCUGGUGUUGCAGCUUCAAUUCUUUCCGGAGGACGGACUGCUCACUCCCGUUUUAAAUUUCCUAUUGAUAUUGAUGAACAAUUCUUCUGUAAUAUUAGUAAGCAGAGUUCGCUUGCAUCAUUUAUACGAGAUGCCAAACUAAUUGUGUGGGAUGAAGUAUUAAUGGCCAAAAAACAAUUGAUAGAAGUUUUUGAUUUACUACUGAAAGAUCUAAUGGAUACAAAGACACUCUUUGGUGGAAAAGUUGUCGUUUUUUGCGGUGAUUUCAGACAAACUCUUCCAGUUGUUCGGAGCGGAAAAAAAGAGGAUUUCAUACAAGAAAGUUUAUUGUAUUCUGAAAUCUGGAACCAAUUUGAAAAAUUGCGAUUAUCAGUAAAUAUACGACCGAGAACAGAUCCUGCUUUUUGCGAAUAUUUGAUGCGAAUAGGGAGCGAAAAAGAAAAAACAAAUUGCCAAGAAUGAAUGAAAGAGCUUGGCUUAGUUUCUGCAAUGGAGAUCUAAAAUGAAUUCGUUCAAUAUCAGCUUACUUCAGAUAAUAUUCCACAAAACUACUUGAUGAUUCCAAGGAAAAUUGGCCCACAACCAUAACAAAGAUCAUAACAGUUCAUUGCUUGGUCUGCUUUCUACUUUGUCGCAACCAUUUAUAAUUCUUGAUCUGGGUGCAGAGCCUCAAGAAGUCACACGUUUAGCAUGCCAAAUAGUAAGUACUUCUGUGAUAAAUUCAAGGUUUUUUUAUUGGACUUAAAGUAUGUGCAUGCAUAAAUUAAAUUUAAGAUAUUAUAUCUUAUUAUUUUUUCAGUUUCUACCCAAUUGAAACCCUUUCUAUAUGAAAGAUUAUUUUUCCUGAAAAAUAUGGCUAACUAUGUAUAGAUUUUUUUUGGUAAUUAAUUUCCUUUAUAUUAAUCACCAAAGUGAGAUCAUUACAAACUAUAAUGAGCAUCAAACUCUGCUGAUUAUCUCAACUAAAACAUAGUAUCCUUAAUCUACUUCAAAGGACUAUACAAGCUGCUACUCUCUAUACUAAUAAGUAAUUCUGUAAUUGACUUCAAGCUUUAGGUUCCACUCUAACAUCACAAAUAUAGGCUAUCUCUCGAACUAUACUAUCACAUUGACGAUAUCUUUUUUCAAAGAUACGAUUAUUUCUUUCCAGCCAUAUUGCAUAGGAUGUUUCUAUGAAUAUCAAUAUACAAAUACUGGCCUGUUUGGAUUUCCCUUUUGCUUUCUUCAUGAUCCAUUGCAGAUGAUGUUGCCAAUUGUUGUAGCUUCCUUGAUCCUCCUGAAUCCAUUUCCAUAUUCUACUCCAUAGCUCUGUUGUAUAAGGACAAUGCAGAAACAGAUGAUCUCUUGUUUCUAGUUGUCCCUGACAUAAGACACAACAUUGAUCAGUGGUCACUCCCUAGUUUACUAUUCUAUCUCUGUAGGCAAUCUUCCAUGUAACAUUAACCAUAGGCUGAAGAUAGCCUUUGGUCUAGUAGAAUUCCGAAAUACUAAGCUCUUCCAACUCAUUCUUGGUAAGUUUCCCAGUAGUUGCAGAUAUAUAUGUUUGAUAGUCUCUUUGUCACCUCUUGAGCACUGAGUUUGUUGUAGGACAUCUCUGGCAACAAUUAUUCUUCGAACUAUCCAACAAGCUUGUUUUGGGAUAGGCAUAGUCUGAAUCUGUUGAUGUUUGAUGUAGUAGGCAUUGAUCCACCUAAUCCACAACUUGUCUUCUUUAUGAGCUAAAUCCCAGCAUACCUUAGCAAUUGCAGCUUUGUUCCAGAUCAGCAAGUUAAUGAUAUUCAUACCUCUAGUCGACUUUGGAGUACACAUUCUGUCCCAUGCCACAUAGCUCUUUCUGGUAAUAGUAUUAGUACCAGACCAUAUGUAGCUUCUACACAUAGCAUCUAUCAUCUUUAACACUUUGGAAGGCAGAAUAAACAGCUGAGCCCAAUAUGCUUGAAUCCCAAAGAUAACAGAUUUGACUAACUGUAUACGACCGGCAUAAGAAAGCUUUUUUGCAGUCCAAGAAGAUAUCUUUCUUGUGAUUCUAUCAAUUAAGGGUUGCCAUUGGAUCAAUGCAAUUUUCUUGAAGGACAAAGGAAUGCCUAAGUAUUUAAAAGGAAACUCCCCUUAUACAAAUCCAAGAUAAUUCAAAAUUUGUUAUUUCACAUCUUGUUUCACUCCCCCAAAAUAUACUGCAUUUUUACCCAUAUUAGCUUGUAAACCAGAUGCCUUAGAGAACUGAGUAAAGUAUUGGUAUAGGGUGGUUAUAGAAAGAAGAGGCUAACUAUGUAUAGAUACUCCUCUAGAUUUCCAACUUACUAACUUUCCUCUUUGCUAACAUCUAUAGUUGACUAUGAUGUUAUGUUCUAUCCAUGAUUUGCUGUUCAGUUAGGUGACAUGUACUUUGCUGCUAUUAGCAGCAAUGAGAUAAUGCUUUGUGCAUUCUAAGAUCCAAAAUCUAUUUCAACAAGGAGACUGGUCUUUUAACAAGGUUUAGAUAGUUUGUUGCCUUAACAAAUUGUUCCACAUUUUUUGCAUAAAUAGUUGUAAGUAGUGUGUGACUAUGUUUGUGAAGGCAAUUAGUAUUAAUUUUUGGAUAUUGGAGCGGCCUCCAAAUGUUUUGCAACAACAUCUUAUUCUUAGAGUGCAUGUACAUUUUCAAAAGUUUACAACGUUUUCCGCAUGAUGUUUUCCUUUAUACUAUUGAUGUCAACGCUUACUCUUUAAUAAAAGAAUUACACAUAUAUCAUUUAUAUAAUUUUAAUUUUAGCUCAGUUAUAAAAGUGUGUGGCCGUGUUUAACAAUUUACUGCCACUAAAAUAUUGAUAAACAAGAUUUUAUUUCUUAGAUGAAGUAUUUAUUAUCGAACAUCACUAAACACUUUAAAGUUUAUGUUAUAUAAACUACAUCAUUGUACGCGGGCUAUACAUGGGCAACAACCAGCUACACUACAUUAGAAGUGCAAAUUAACAAGUGAGACAAGCGGUCAUUUUUCCUUGGGAUUUAGUUACCUCAGUUUGUUAUUUGUAUAAUAUUUGUGUGUUUGUCAAAGCUACAUUUUCAGACGGAAGCUAAAAGCUAAAGAGCUUCAACGCAUCUUAUGAUAACUUAUGAUGGAGUCAAGAUGAACAACAAGGUUUAGGUGGACUCAUUUGGUCAUUUUUGUGCAAUAUUGGUAACGUCGUCUUCUGCCAACUGCGCUUUCACUCUGUCAAGCUUCGUGAUAGGACAGUUGACAUCCUAAAUAGUCUUUGCUAACCAGUCAGACUACAUUUCAUUCAGGUUAGUUUCAUUGUUCGUAGUAAUUCAAUUACUUAAAAUUCAGUUUUCCUACUUGGAUGUUUAUAUUAAAAGUUUUUUCACGAAACAUUUUAUGACUAUCCUAAUAACAGUUUUUGUCUUUGGGUUUCGUAUAGAGUAUCAACAUAUGACAUAUGCUAUCACUUAUAUAACCAGUUGUUUUAUAUGUCAUUGGAUGAGAUUUCUCACCUGUUGUUUAGCAUAGAAAUACAAUGAAGCGGAUAUCUUUCAUUGUUACCUGCAUCAUAAUCUUCCAAAUACCUCUUCGACUCAUCAAUGCACUUGGAGCUGCCAUUAUCUUCAUAGGAACUUUCAUGUAUUCACAAGUGAGUUUCUUCUUCACUGUCUAUUGCUUAAAAAAUUUGCUGCACCAAAGCACACUGGUGGAAGUGAAGAAGCAAAAUGAGUUCUAUUAGGAAUAUAGCAUUGAUCCUGGAAGGUACAUGGGUUCUUCAUUUUGUUUGUCCUUCUUCCUAUUUAAGGAAUCAUCGAAGUUAAUUCCUGAUCAUAGUUCCAAUAUAUGUUUGGUGAUAUUUUUCAUAUGGCUUCUAAAUUAUCAAUUUUCUUUCUGAAGACUUCAAUUGAAGGAUCUUUGAAUAAGCAAAGAAUUUUUUCUUUUGUGAAAAUUAAGUCAUGUUUUACUUUUGAAAUGGACCGAGUGCAAGUUGCUCAUACAGAUCAUAACAGCAGAGGUGUAAGAAGUCUAUCUCCUAAGGUAAGUGCACUAUUUUCAUGUUCGUCGUCUCAGUUGGUUUAUCAACUUUCUGUUACUGUGCUUAAUUCCUCUGUAAUUCAAUUUAGAGAGUUAAGUGUAUUUUCUUGCAAUUUAUGGUAAAAUUCUAUCUAUGGUGGUGUUAGUAAAUUAUCAGAUAGUAAAACGGAAGUAUUCUCUUUUUAUUAUCCCCAUAUGUAUUCUUUUUAUUGUGUUCAGAAUAUUAUUUCUGUUAACUUGAGUCGAAAGAUGAAUACUGAAGCUUGAUGUUAUGCUGAGUGCUUAGAUGCUUUCUCCGCUAUCGCUGGCUUGGAUUAGCAGGUUGGAUUUCUUAUUUUAUUUUACUUAGGAAUGUGUAUAAAACUGUAGAAUAUUGGUUGUGAAAUCAGAAAUUUAUUCACCACCGUCCUUUUUUUUCUUUACUCAAGUUUGAUUCUCACUUAAAGCUUUGAAUUUAGAGCUGCUCUCUUAUUUGGUUAAUUUGUUGGUUGCGCUGUCACGUUCACUCAAGUUUUGGUUACAGAUUUUUGGUUUCUUUAGUUGUCCAGUAAUUCUCAUGAAUUGCAGCUUUGAAAUUUGGCAACAACUAUAAGAUUCCAAAUACAUGUAUCUAUUAUUUAAGUCGGAAUGUAACUAUUGAGAGUUAUAGUUUAAAAUUUGACAAUAGCUAUGUCAAUAGUAAAAAACAUGUAUGAAAAACAUGGUUGGUAAUAUCGCUUUCCGUGCAAAGUGCAACUGCUCUUUAGUUGAAUACGUAAAAUAGGUAUCUUGCUGCAUAUGAAAGAUCCUAAGCAUCCAAUUCGUGCCAACUACAAAAAUCUUGAACAUACUCAUUGGAGGAUGAUCCUCCCUUAAUGUAUUUGAGAGGGACGUAAAUCCGUGAUAUCUCAUUCAUCUGCUCUUCUUUUAUAUCUUUGCAACAGAAAAAUACCAUUAGCAAAUACCAUCAUCCUGCUUGCAACACUCAAAAUAUGCCUAAUUAUACUUUUCAAUCUAUAUCUACUAUUACAAUUUAUCCAACACAUACCAACUUAUUAUUCUUGAAUUGUUUUAUGGAAAUAACAACUCCUACUCUUAAAUUUGUUUUUGCAGAUUUUUGCUUCCAUUGGAAGCAUAUAACAUUUGGAAUUAAAGCUCAUUUCAACUUUGUUUCCUCUACUUCUAGCAGUUGUAGCGAAGGGCAUUUUGGACUUUACACCUUCCUAAUGCAACGUGUCCAUCAAAUGCAAACCUCAACUGCUGAAACGUCACUGCAUCGGUUGCACUCCUCUUGGAUGCUUCUCUAUUGAUUUAUUUCCUGGCUAUGUGCUACUCCAUUACAUACUAGAAGGUCGGAUUCUCUCACUCAUGGAAGCUGCUGUUCUCCCUCUUCAUUCUCAAUACUUCAUUUUUCCCUCUUAUUUCACCAUAUCCAUACAUACAGAAGUUCCUUUGAUGAAAGAGAACUCUUAAGGUGGAGAAGAAAGACAGAGAAAUAGCCCCUCAAACAAAAAAAGGUAAAAAUUGCUAUUGUAGAUUGUUCUUUUAUGUAUGAAUUAUUUCAAAUAAUGCUUGACUAGCUGGUUUAACAAUAUGAAAGUUUGGGUUCUCUUCAUACUUAUUAAUUUCGCAAUUCAACGAUUAUUGUGUGUUAAAUAUACGAGUGUGAUUGAAAGCAGAUAGGAUUAAGGUACAGAUAAUGGUAGUAAUUUCAGUUGUUUUAAACUCAUUUUUUGAAGAGUAUUCUCUUUCGAUCUGGUUAGAUUCUCCGGUCCAGAACUUGGAGAUCUUGCUCCAUCUCUUCUACAGCUCUUCAAAAAAAGGUGAGUUCGGUCUAGAAUAAAUGGUACACAAAUUAAGCAAGCAGAUGCCUACUAAUUAGUACAGAAUUAAACUGUCAUACAAAAAGUCUGAGGUAUGAACUAUGUACCUAUGAUGUCUGAUGAGUGAUGAUAUGCCUUCUUUUUUCAUGUUACUUAUUUGGCUUAAAUGUCUAAGUUCGUAGCCGGAAAUACUUGCUUCAGAUAGAGCUGAAAAAAACUAUUGGUUUGGUGAGUGGAGCCAUGUACUUCAGUCAGUAAGAUGACCCUCUCAUUCGCAUAUCCCCUUGUUGCUAAAAUAGAAAGUUACCAAAGCCAGGUAUACUAGAGGGCACUGGGUCUUAUUUCGCGCCAUUAAAUUCUUUGUAGUUUAACGUUUGAUACAAACCUCCUCCUAUUAUUUAUAUUACAAGUAGUGGACAACUGACGAGGAUAAAUUGUUUGAUGUAGUUGUUAGACACUAGUGACAAGUAAGUAUCACUGCAACUAAAUUUUGCUUCUUUGUGUUCUUUCUUUCCACCAUUCAGUGACAUCCGAUAGACUUAGUGAUGCCAAGGUAGAUUAUUGUCCACAGAACACAAACAAAGAGACAAAGAGAUGUGAUUGAUAUAACAUUGUCAACUUUUCAUGGCCUCAUUCUCUCAUAUUUCUUCUUAACACAUUAUAUCGUAAGAAUUUAGUUUGUGAAGAGAUGCUUUCUUGAAAUAUCCAUCCUAUUCUAACCAAAGUAAUUGAGAUAAUAGUAGAAGGCGGUGAAGAUGUUAAAAUCUCCAUAUAGGACAUUCAUUCCUACGGAUUGUGCAUCAUUUCAAAUGUUUAUGUUGUCAAAAUUAUAGUUCCAUCAAGGCACUUUGUGGGAUGGAAUUUAGGAAGCAUGCCUUUUACUUAGAGUAUAUGAUUAGUGACUUAAGAGUAGAAGAAGUUUUUUUUUUUUUUAUGUUUACCACUAGGUGUUGAUAUGUGUUAGUCAGUUUUAAAAGUUAAGGCACUUACAAAUGAACGAAAAUAUGAACACCAAGUUAGCAAUAGUAAGUAACUUAUUAUCAUUUAUGCAAAAUUAUUCAAAAGGGUAUAAGUAUAAAUUUUCAAGAUGCCAUUUUGGUACCUCUAGCCGUUAGACUAUCUGUUGGGGCUUAGCUUCUUAAGGCGUCUCCAUUUGCUAGCUCACCAAAUGUGCACUAUUUUCUGCUUAUAAUACUAGGAUAAAUUGGUAUAGAUUUGUCAAUAGCCUAAGUGAUAUUAGUAAUCAAGACUGAGGUUACCUUUCAAAGGCAACACUUUUAGUUCUGUCAUGCUUGCCCUCUAAGAAAUUUUCUGGUACUCCAUGCUUUUCUCUUCUUCUUUUAAGUUGGAAAAUGUUCUGUUAGUUUUUGUUUCUCUUAAUGCAAUCAAUUAGGGCUAAAAGUACAAAUGCUAGCCUUUCCUAAGCAAGCAGAAUUUUAGGCCUUUCCUAAGCAAGCAGAAUUUUAGGCCUUUCCAAGGCAAGCUGAAGUUAAUCUUUUUGAAGCAUGGUGAAGCCGAGUCUACUGCAUUGUUGGAACCUGUAAUGAAGCACAAACAUGGAUGUAUAUAACAAAUAAUUUUCUAAAAUGGCAUGUCAAUUGCAAUCAACUACUUCAAUUCUCUUACUCUUUGCUUAGUUGCUCACAUCUUAUCUAUUUAGGUACCAGAGUUUCUUCAGGCAAUACAAGAAAGGUGCUUACCAACAUCAUGACCGUUUGUCAACAUAGCAUGUGUAGACAGUAUUACCAUGGGUGUGAAUAAAAUAUUCAUUUGGUAACCAUACAAUAUGAGCAAAUAUUUUGUUCCUAAACGCACGUAGAUAAAUGAAGCAACAUAUAUGUAAUGUUGUCUUCAACGCAUGUACUUAUUCUUUUUACGAUUUUAUUGAAUCAUGCAUUCAAGCAAUACAAAUAGAAAUAACUAUUUCGGCUUUUACAAUAUUGGGCCCGUGCUGGCACGGGCUAUCACUACCUAGUAGAUUAUAGAAGAGCAAGUUUUUUGACAUGGUUGUUUAAAGUCAUUAACUUUUAUUUUAGGGCGUUUUAGUCUUUUUAAGUAUCUCCUUAUACAUUCUUUCUUUCUUUUCUACUUUUCUCUUGCCAUUAGUUUCUUUCCCUUUUUUCAGUCUUAUUGCAAUCACUGAGUAACUUAAGCCUAGCUAUACGGCGACGAGAAAGGUGAUUGUUAUAAAGCUGAUUGAGUCGUCAUGGCAAGGAAUGCUUUCUUUUUUGUGGGAGGUAAAUCUUUUGAAAUUAGGGGAAAUGGAGACAAUUGGUACGAGAUUAUUGAGAGAAGGAGGAAUUUUGUUAACAGAUUAACUGUUGAUAGGAUCAAUCUUCUGGAGGUUUGCAAAUACCUUAAACUUGCUUCAAUUGGGAAAGGAAAUAUUGUUAGAAAGUGGAAGAUUGAGGAUCAGUUGUAUUUGUACUCUAUCUUUCAAAAUUUUAAUGUGUAUGGAAUAUAUAUCAGAAUAGUUUCACAAAAAGGAAAGAAGAAGUCAACCAUAAUCAUUCCAGAAAUUGACGUUGAUGCAGGAUGGGCUGAUGUUGCUGAGAAGAUGAUAAAGUUUUUGGAGAAAGAAGUAAGCCAAAACAAAAAUUGCAAUCAGGUGCCGCAAAAGAAUGAAAGCUAUGCAGAGAUUGCUGAAAUCAAAAGCUGGCCCAAGGAUGGAGUUAAAGUAGUAGAAUGUGUCAGAAAAGAACAGAAUGUGAUCGUCAUUGACAAAAGUUCCUCGAAGUCUAGGGUGGAGUAUCUGCAAAGAUGCGUGGUUGGGUAUUUUGGGAGUGUAAACUCGACCAUUCCCAGUAAGAGUGAGGUCUUAAGGUGGGCUGAAAAAUCAUGGAAGAUUUCGGCAGGGGUUAAAGUUAAAGAGUUAAAUAGAGUCCUCUUUUUAUUUGAAUUUCCUUCAAGAAAGGAAGCUGAAAAAAUUAAAAUGGGUGGAUGGUCUCUUAAUCACUGCAAACUACAUUUGGAAUGGUGGUCGCCGGUGAGUCUGUGUCAUCGAAAAAAUUGGUGCCCCAAUUACAUCUGGAUUAAAGUUCUGGGCUUCCCAACCCAUCUAUGGUCAGAUAAUAUCUUUUGAACUAUAGGGGAGAAGCUGGGUGGAUUCAUUGAAAUGGAUGAAGAUAUCAGAGAAAGAAAGCACAUGAGAUGGGCCAGAAUCUGUGUUCGAUAUUCAGAUGUCAGAGUACCAGCAAAUAUAGAAUUAGUAGUGGAUGAUUUAGUGUGCUUGGGUUGAAAAAAUUGAUCGGAAAAUUGUUGGAGAUCGUCGGCGAGACUGGGAAUAUGAACAGGCAGCGCAAUUAUGGCAGCAGAAGAAGCCGCAGGUUCCCAAUGGAGAAUUUUCAUUAAUAGUAGGCACGCGUGGCAAACGUGACAGCUGGCAUAAUAAGCGAGAUGUUGGAAAUUUGCAAAGGGACCAAAGAAUAAAUGGAGAUCCUCGUAGAGCAAACCCUCGAAUAAAUAUGAAGAAGUCUGAUAGCGAACAUGUUGUUCUAAGUCAUAAUAUGAAAAAGGAUUUUUAAGGAAAAGGCUCAUAUAUUGAUAAAAUACAGAGGCCCAAAAAAGUUGCUCAGAUUUACAGGCCCAUUGAGAAGCCCAAUCCUGGAAAUGAUCAUAAAAUAGGAGAUGUUGGACAAAAGGAGGGUCCAGUUAAAAUAGGUGGUGCAUCUGAAUUAUCUGUGGGCCCUAUUAAUACAAGCCCAUUGAGUGUACUAAGUCCAAGUGUUCAGACAGGACUGAUUAUUAAUCAGAAAGAACAGGAGACCCGACCCAGUUGCUCUUAUAAAGUGAAUAUAUGUCUUCCUGAUCCCCGCUCUUGAGGAAAAGUGAAUAUAUGUCUUAUAAAGUGAAUAUAUGUACAAUUUGCAAUUGUACCAGCAGAGUGCAGCAGUUGUCAAGAAUUUUUUGAAGAGAUGACAGAAAACAUAGAGGGGAGUGCAACAACAAAUGUACAUCCAAUAGAGCCAAACUUGGAGAUGAUUGUUCAAGAGUCUUCUAGUCCUGUAAUUAAUUUUUUUGAUGAGGGUAAAAUUCCAUAUAAUGAAGUGGAAAAUAUACAUGCAGUUGAUUCUCCUUCUCAGAUAUUAAUGCUUCCAUGGUACGAAAAUGGCCCAUGCAAUAUCCAGGAGAGACUAAACUUCAUUGAUGCUUCUCGCUGGGUGAAAUCGAACAUGCUAAAGUUAUGUCGUCAAUUGGGUGUCAAGGCGGAUGUUCAGGAGAAUGACUUGCUGAACCUUCUCAUGAGAAUUGAAAGGAGUAGAUUAGCAAGACCUAAGCCACAAAACAAAAGCCCAUCU